This is a long non-coding RNA of Gasterosteus aculeatus aculeatus (three-spined stickleback), 1398 nucleotides long. Lineage: Eukaryota; Metazoa; Chordata; Actinopteri; Perciformes; Gasterosteidae. The record is from Ensembl.
UUUCUUUGAUUCCAAAAUUCAACAAUCAAACAGAUAAACAUAAGCUAUGUCCCUGAAGGCACCAUCUCAUGUGGUCUCCGUAGUGUAGUGGUUAUCACGUUCGCCUAACACGUGGAAGGUCCCCGUUUCGAGACCGGGCGGAAACAGCUGUUGAUGUUUCCUUCUUGAUUCCGAACUUCAACAAUCAAACAGAUAACCAUACGCUAUGUCCCUGAACGCACCAUCUCAUUUGGUUUCCGUAGUGUAGUGGUUAUCACGUUCGCCUCACACGCGAAAGGUCCCCGGUUCGAGACCGGGAGGAAACAGUCGUUGGUGUUUCUUUCUUUGAUUCCGAACUUCAACAAUCAAACAGAUAAACAUACGCUAUGUCCCUGAACGCACCAUCUCAUGCGGUUUCCUUAGUGUAGUGGUUAUCACGUUCGCCUAACACUGGAAAGGUCCCGGUUAGAGACCGGCGGAAACAGUUUUUGAUGUGUUUUUCUUUGAUUCCGAACUUCAACAUUCAAACAGAUAUACAUAAACUAUGUCCCUGAACGCACCAUCUCAUGUGGUUUCCGUAGUGUAGUGGUUAUCACGUUCGCCUAACACGCUAAAGGUCCCCGGUUCGAGACCGGGCGGAAAUAGUCUUUGAUGUCUUUUUCUUUGAAUCCGGCGUGAUGCUUUGUUUUUGUGCGUGAAUGCCAUAUGUUGCUGGAUAUAUUGCGCUGGAUAUACUCUAUGUCCCUGAACACACCAUCUCCUGUGGUUUCCGUAGUGUAGUGGUUAUCACGUUCGCCUAACAUGCGGAAGGUCCCUGGUUCGAGACCGGGCGGAAACAGUGUUGGAUGUUUUUUUCUUUAUUCCGCACUUCAACAAUCAAACAGAUGAACAUAAAGCUAUGUCCCUGAACGCACCAUCUCAUGUGGUUUCCGUAGUGUAGUGGUUAUCACGUUCGCCUCACACACGAAAAGGUCCUCGGUUCGAGACCGAGCAGAAACAGUUGUUGUUGUUUUUUUCUUUGAUUCUUCAACAAUCAAACAGAUAAACAUACGCUAUGUCCCUGAAAGCACCAUCUCCUGUGGUUUCCGUAGUGUAGUGGUUAUCACGUUCGCCUCACACGCGAAAGGUCCCCGGUUCGAGACCGGGCGGAAACAGUCGUUGAUCUAUUUUUGUCUAUAUUCCGAACUUCAGCAAUCAAACAGAUAAACAUAAGCUAUGUCCCUGAACGUACCAUCUCAUGUGGUUUCCGUAGUGUAGUGGUUAUCACGUUCGCCUAACAUGCGAAAGGUACCCGGUUCGAGACUGGGCGGAAACAGUCGUUGAUGUUUUUUUCUUUAUUUCCAACUUCAGCAUUCAAACAGAUAUACAUACGCUAUGUCCCUGAAAGCACCAUCCCUGGUGGUUUCCGUAGUGUAGUGG